Non-coding RNA from Rhineura floridana, 72 nucleotides. Lineage: Eukaryota; Metazoa; Chordata; Lepidosauria; Squamata; Rhineuridae. The record is from the annotation of a RefSeq genome assembly.
GCCACGGUGGCUCAGGGGAAGAGCAUCCGCCUGGCAUGCGGAAGGCCCCAGGUUCAAUCCCUGAGAGCGGCA